CACUCUUUCCAUCGCAAUUUCUUUAUCAAACGACAAGUCUGACGAGUUGCUGGGGCUAUCAUUUUCGAAAUCAACCUCUUUAUCUUCAUUCCGUUCUGCGCUGUUCGAUUUCCGCAAUUUCUCGGCAUUUGGACGUUGCCUUCGCCGCGGUAGCCGGCGAUGCAGCCUGAACUGAUAUCGCAGCUUGCUUUCAGCUUGGCCGCCAUUUUGCCAUAUGUCGGUGCGUGCGGUUGCAUGCAAGAAUGCUUUGGUCAGUAGCUUUAACUUCAGCCGUCAGACCGGAAUUCACGUCGCUUUUUUCGAAGGCUCCGCAGAGUGACUGAAAUAAUGCUGGCUUCUCGCUUAUGUUGGAUAUUCCGGUGGUUCAAUGCUUCGAACCAAGGGUGUACGGACAGCCUGGUAAAGCUACGUUUCCCAGCAGACGAGGCUUCAACAUUUUAAAAGGUGCCACAAGUUGACUGAAAGAAUGCUGGUUGCUCGUGCACUGCAUGGCCUCGUCGUGGCUCACGGUUCGAACAAUGCAGGGGCCGAGAGCCAGGCGAAGUGCUGCUUCGCUGCAGAUGAGGUGCGGAUGGCCAGUGGAACGAGAGCAACAUCUGGGCGAUUGUUUGCGGAGGCGACCACACGGCUUCAGUGCGAAUGCAGGGCCCACAGAGUUUCUGGCUUUGUGUCAGGAUCGCUAUCUGACGGUGUACAAUAGUUCAAGGUUUCUUGCCCACAUGUCUUUCACCGUGCUUCUCACGUACACGUGUGAUGUUUUUUUUUCGUUUUGUUUUUCAUGAGUGCCAAGAACAAACGAUCGACGUUCUUCUGAACGUGCUGUUGGUCAAAGGCGAUGCUGGCCUUUCGUGCCGCCUCACCUGGUCAAGCACUGGAGGCCGCAUUGUCGCCGACUAUGCGAAUCAAGCCAGCAAGUUUUCCGCGGCUAACAGAGGUCUUCAUGUUUUACUGAAGUCUCCGUCGUCUUGAGUGGUCGGCGCCCCUAUUCCAGAGCACCGCGGAGCCUGGCCACAUUGAGACCGUGUUGCACCAAUCCUUUUUGGACUAUGAGCACGCCGCUGAGGACCGGUGUCUUGCUGCCUGACCUAGGGAACUGGUGGCCAGGCCUUCUAGCGUGAUGGUGCCUCGCAGCCUCCACUGCAUAUCCUGCGACCUGGUACCUCAGUGCCGGCCCUGCAACCUGGUGUCCAGCUGUUCUAUCUGCGUGAUGUGUUGCUGCGGACCCCGUAGACCCGGUGGCAAGUUGUUCCUGCGGCCUCCACGGCCGCUCAUCAGAACAUCGCGCAUGCGUUAAGGGAUCACAGGUGGCAAAAUGUUUUUUCUGUAAUAAUUUUGCAUCAAAAGACAAGUAGGGCUAGUUGCUAACAUGCGUAAAAUGAGCUUUGGUAUUAGGGUCUCUCGUUUCGCAUUAUUCGAUUUCGCCAAUUUCUUUGCAUUUAAACAUUGUCUUCGCUGCAAUAACAGGCAAUGUAGCCUCAUUUCAUAUCGCGGGUUGCUUUCGCGAUGGCGGUCACUUUGUUACUGUGGGUGCAUGUAGCUGUGGGAAAGAGUCCUCGCCUACUUUCGUGAAUCUCUAUAGCAUUUACCAUCCGAACGCCACCCACGCCGCUUUUUAGAGACACCACGACAUGGGUGGAUCAAUGCUGGCUGCUCGUUUAUGUUAUACAUCACCAUGGUGUUUGGUUCGCACAACGCAGGGAUGGACAGCUGGGGAUGUUAUGCUUACUAUCAGAUAAAGUGAGCACAAUCAUUGCGAGUGUUCGGAAAUAAUUACGCUCAGUAAAUAAUUCGUCCCCUACUGAUAACUUUUAAUUUUUUCACUUUUUGCUUUUUGCCACGACAUCUUUAAAUAUUCCUAAACCACUCUAACUCUCAACUUUUUAAGGAAAUAUUGAUCAAGAACUACUUAACGGCUGUCUGCCGAGCGUCAGACUACCGAGCGUCAGACUACCGAGCGUCAGACUACGGAGCGUCAGACUACGGAGCGUCAGACUACGGAGCGUCAGACUACGGAGCGUCAGACUACGGAGCGUCAGACUACGGAUCGACAGGCUACGGAUCGACAGGCUACGGAUCGACAGGCUACGGAUCGACAGGCUACGGAUCGACAGGCUACGGAUCGACAGGCUACGGAUCGACAGGCUACGGAUCGACAGACCACCGAGAGCGUCAUGGACCGUCGCGGAGAGCGUCAUGGACCGUCGCGGAGAGCGUCAUGGACCGUCGCGGAGAGCGUCAUGGACCGUCGCAGAGAGCGUCAUGGACUGUCGCGGAGAGCGUCAUGGACCGUCGGAGAGCGUCAUAGACGGUCGGAGAUCAUCGGAGAGCGUCAGAGAGUCAUACUGCAGGGUGUCCCAAAGAACGAAGUAUUUGACUGAAAUAUUCUGUUUUUCAGCAGGAUCUGGAAGUAGGACACAUUUGUAAUCAGACGUAUUCAGGACAUAUUCGAAACAUUUGUAAUUUUGAGAAAGCUUUUCGGCAGCUUCGCGUAGACUUUCACCGAGGGCCAUCUACACUUUGCUGAGGUGCCUGUGCUGAUGUCCCUGAGUAUCUCAACAGAGAUUGCAUCUAUGAGAAAGUUUUUUGGCGUUCGUCAAUGCACGGGGCUAAAAUAAAACAAUAGCGUUCCGAUUGUCCAUGCUGCAUUAUAAGUGACAUCAGUAUAUCGUAUCACGUUCUGUUUAUGCUCAUUCUUUGUUUCCCUUUUUUUCAUGGACGAACCUUGAAAGUUGGCUUUGUAUGGUGGCCACCAGGGCGCUCCGCAGCCAGCUGAGGUACUACCUCUAACAGUAGUACCUCGGACCGAGAUUAGAUGCCCGCAAGGGCAUCCCCGCUAAGGGGAGAUUGGUGAGAAGUUCGCCUGCAUGGUCCCAGCACCCUCGCCUGGCCUGUGCGCAGCUUACCUUGUCUAGGGAAAGGGAAAUCCUGUUGGCUGAGCAGACGACGAGUGUUUGGACCUUUAAGGUCCCUCGAAUGAAGCAACGCUCUUUGUAGCCCGCUUCCCAAUAGACGGUACCCCGAGAUUGACUCGCCCGGGGGAAAUCAGCCGCUGCCAUUUCCUGACCUCCUCUCCACACUUUUAUCUCUAUUUCCUUUCUUCUAUCUCUAUUUCCUCUGUUCUAUCUGUCCUGCCAGCUCAUUCCUUCUUUUCUUUCCUCUUUUUUUGGACAGCGAGGGUUAACCUUGUGCGUAUUGGUCAACCGUGGCCAUUAUGCAUAGUUAUAAUGGCCGCGUACGGUUAAUGCAUUCGAACCCUUCCCUGGUUGGGCAUCGGGGUGCGUGACCAGCUCGGCUACCAAAUAACAAAUAAAAUCUUAUGGCUGCCAAGAAACCUUUCUCUGACCCAGGAGAAGGGGUCGGACCAAAGUUAAACAAGUACUAGCACAAAAAACGUUAAAUUUUCCGAGGUUUUCCGUUGAGCACUCCAUGACCGACGAACUGCUGGCUGACCUAUCUGCCUUGUUAAACACAAAGAACGUCCGAAACAAUGUGGGAAAGUUUUCUAAGUGAAGAAACUGAAAAAGUGAGACUCUCUAGCAGAAAUCUAAAUGCCAAGGCACCAAAUCGCUAUCUCUGAAAAAGCUUUGCAAAAUGGAUGUGGCGAUGACACAUCGCUACACCCUUAACUACACGACGGGUGUCGUUUCCGAGCAGGAACUUUUGCAAAGUACAGAUGUACAAAUCGGAGAGGAAGUGCUGAACAAGGAGCAAUCGCCGCCCGACAGAUCACAAUGGGAAAAAAUACAUAAAGACAUAACAUAUUGUCUUAACUUUCAACAGCAUAAUUCUGCCCGGCUGCAUUCACGCACCAUACAUGCGUUGCAACGUGCGCCCUUAUAUCCCAAACCCUAAGUGAUGCUUUAAAUGCAAGUUUUGGAUAUGGCUCGCUGUCAUGCGGGGGCAAGCUUGCAUGCUUCGCGUGCGAAUAUCAAUGCACAGAAGAGAGAUUUGAGCGCACCACCAAAUUAAGUGCACAACUUUACCAGCUGUCUCUACAUCUCAUAUUCUUUGAGCAUCUUGUGAACACCUGAUUGGUACACAUCUUGGAAACGAAUAAGAGAAUACAUCAAUGUCAACGUGGUUUCUGACACCCUGGAUCUUUAGUUGAUCUGUUGGUGCGUCUUGAAACAAAAUACGGGAGGCGCACGCAAAUGGCCAAUACAGUCUGCCAGCAUUUUUACAGCGAUGCUGGCGAUAUAUUUUCGUCG
This is an RNA transcript of Dermacentor albipictus, 4208 nucleotides long. RefSeq lists it as uncharacterized. Lineage: Eukaryota; Metazoa; Arthropoda; Arachnida; Ixodida; Ixodidae. The record is from RefSeq and is a predicted model, not a curated record.